RNAcentral lists this ribosomal RNA (411 nucleotides) under uncultured soil bacterium. RNAcentral describes it as "bacterial SSU rRNA". It matches the Rfam family "Bacterial small subunit ribosomal RNA", at positions 26 to 433 of the family's 1533-position model. The record is from RNAcentral.
AGAGUGAACGCUGGCGGCAGGCCUAAUACAUGCAAGUCGAACGGCAGCACGGCAGAGCUUGCUCUGUGGGUGGCGAGUGGCGGACGGGUGAGGAAUACAUGGGAAUCUGCCCAGUCGUGGGGGAUAACGUAGGGAAACUUACGCUAAUACCGCAUGCGCCCGUUCGGGGGAAAGCCGGGGACCUUCGGGCCUGGCGCGAUUGGAUGAGCCCAUGUCGGAUUAGCUAGUUGGCGGGUAACGCCCACCAAGGCGACGAUCCGUAGCUGGUCUGAGAGGAUGAUCAGCCACACUGGAACUGAGACACGGUCCAGACUCCGUACGGGAGCAGCAGUAGGGAAUAGUGGACAAGUGGGCACAAGCCUGACUCCAGCCAUGCCGCGUGAGUGAAGAGGCCGUUCGGUAGUAAGUCUU